AGAGUUUGAUCAUGGCUCAGGAUGAACGCUAGCGGCAGGCUUAAUACAUGCAAGUCGUGGGGCAGCGCGGGUAGCAAUACCUGGCGGCGACCGGCAAACGGGUGCGGAACACGUACGCAACCUUCCUUUAAGCGGGGAAUAGCCCAGGGAAACUUGGAUUAAUACCCCAUAAGAUUAUGGUGUGGCAUCACACAGUAAUUAAAGCUCCGGCACUUAAAGAUGGGCGUGCGGCUGAUUAGGUAGUUGGCGGGGUAACGGCCCACCAAGCCUACGAUCAGUAACUGGUGUGAGAGCACGACCAGUCACACGGGCACUGAGACACGGGCCCGACUCCUACGGGAGGCAGCAGUAAGGAAUAUUGGUCAAUGGACGCAAGUCUGAACCAGCCGUGCCGCGUGGAGGAUGAAGGCCCUCUGGGUUGUAAACUUCUUUUAUCUGGGAAGAAACCCAUCUUUUCUAAGGUGGUUGACGGUACCAGUUGAAUAAGCACCGGCUAACUCCGUGCCAGCAGCCGCGGUAAUACGGAGGGUGCAAGCGUUAUCCGGAUUCACUGGGUUUAAAGGGUGCGUAGGUGGGCAGGUAAGUCAGUGGUGAAAUCUCCGGGCUUAACCCGGAAACUGCCGUUGAUACUAUCUGUCUUGAAUAUAGUGGAGGUGAGCGGAAUAUGUCAUGUAGCGGUGAAAUGCUUAGAUAUGACAUAGAACACCCAUUGCGAAGGCAGCUCGCUACACUAUCAUUGACACUGAGGCACGAAAGCGUGGGGAUCAAACAGGAUUAGAUACCCUAGUAGUCC
Molecule: ribosomal RNA, 793 nt
Filed under: uncultured bacterium
Lineage: Bacteria
Description: bacterial SSU rRNA
Rfam family: Bacterial small subunit ribosomal RNA
Source: RNAcentral